GACGAACGCUGGCGGCGUGCUUAACACAUGCAAGUCGAACGGAAAGGCCCUGCUUUUGUGGGGUGCUCGAGUGGCGAACGGGUGAGUAACACGUGAGUAACCUGCCCUUGACUUUGGGAUAACUUCAGGAAACUGGGGCUAAUACCGGAUAGGAGCUCCUGCUGCAUGGUGGGGGUUGGAAAGUUUCGGCGGUUGGGGAUGGACUCGCGGCUUAUCAGCUUGUUGGUGGGGUAGUGGCUUACCAAGGCUUUGACGGGUAGCCGGCCUGAGAGGGUGACCGGCCACAUUGGGCCUGAGAUACGGCCCAGACUCCUACGGGAGGCAGCAGUGGGGAAUAUUGCACAAUGGGCGGAAGCCUGAUGCAGCAACGCCGCGUGCGGGAUGCCGGCCUUCGGGUUGUAAACCGCUUUCGCCUGUGACGAAGCGUGAGUGACGGUAAUGGGUAAAGAAGCACCGGCUAACUACGUG
This 468-nucleotide ribosomal RNA is filed under the name uncultured bacterium. RNAcentral's name for it is "partial 16S ribosomal RNA". It matches the Rfam family "Bacterial small subunit ribosomal RNA", at positions 28 to 507 of the family's 1533-position model. The record is from RNAcentral.